CGGACGGGUGAGUAAUGUAUGGGGGUCUGCCUGAUGGCGGGGGAUAACUACUGGAAACGGUAGCUAAUACCGCAUAAUGUCUGCGGACCAAAGCGGGGGACCUCCGGGCCUCGCGCCAUCAGAUGAACCCAUAUGGGAUUAGCUAGUAGGUAAGGUAACGGCUUACCUAGGCGACGAUCCCUAGCUGGUCUGAGAGGAUGAUCAGCCACACUGGGACUGAGACACGGCCCAG
RNAcentral lists this ribosomal RNA (232 nucleotides) under uncultured bacterium. RNAcentral's name for it is "partial 16S ribosomal RNA". It matches the Rfam family "Bacterial small subunit ribosomal RNA", at positions 99 to 334 of the family's 1533-position model. The record is from RNAcentral.